ACUACAACGGGUGGAGCCUGUCGGUUUAAUUGGAUUCAACGCCGGAAAUCUCACCGGGGCGACAGCAAUAUGAAGGUCAGGCUGAAGACCUUACCCGAUUAGCUGGGAGGUGGUGCAUGGCCGUCGUCAGUUCGUACUGUGAAGCAUCCUGUUAAGUCAGGCAACGAGCGAGACCCACGUCCACAGUUGCCAGCAUACCCUCCGGGGUGAUGGGUACACUGUGGAGACCGCCGCUGCUAAAGCGGAGGAAGGAGUGGGCAACGGUAGGUCAGUAUGCCCCGAAUCUCCCGGGCUACACGCGGGCUACAAUGGUUGGUACAAUGGGCAUCUACCCCGAAAGGGGAAGGAAAUCUCUUAAAGCCAAUCGUAGUUCGGAUUGGGGGCUGCAACUCGCCCUCAUGAAGCUGGAAUCCGUAGUAAUCGCGUUUCAACAGAACGCGGUGAAUACGUCCCUGCUCCUU
This 461-nucleotide ribosomal RNA is filed under the name uncultured Methanosaeta sp. RNAcentral describes it as "bacterial SSU rRNA". It matches the Rfam family "Archaeal small subunit ribosomal RNA", at positions 878 to 1338 of the family's 1478-position model. Lineage: Archaea; Methanobacteriati; Methanobacteriota; Methanomicrobia; Methanotrichales; Methanotrichaceae. The record is from RNAcentral.